AUUGAACGCUGGCGGCAUGCCUUACACAUGCAAGUCGAACGGCAGCGGACCUUCGGGUGCCGGCGAGUGGCGAACGGGUGAGUAAUAUAUCGGAACGUACCUUUCAGUGGGGGAUAACGUAGCGAAAGUUACGCUAAUACCGCAUAUUCUGUGAGCAGGAAAGCAGGGGAUCGCAAGACCUUGCGCUGAUUGAGCGGCCGAUAUCAGAUUAGCUAGUUGGUGAGGUAAAGGCUCACCAAGGCGACGAUCUGUAGCGGGUCUGAGAGGAUGAUCCGCCACACUGGAACUGAGACACGGUCCGGACUCCUACGGGAGGCAGCAGUGGGGAAUUUUGGACAAUGGGCGCAAGCCUGAUCCAGCCAUGCCGCGUGAGUGAAGAAGG
RNAcentral lists this ribosomal RNA (382 nucleotides) under uncultured bacterium. Its description in RNAcentral is "bacterial SSU rRNA". It matches the Rfam family "Bacterial small subunit ribosomal RNA", at positions 30 to 414 of the family's 1533-position model. The record is from RNAcentral.